This 250-nucleotide ribosomal RNA is filed under the name uncultured bacterium. RNAcentral describes it as "partial 16S ribosomal RNA". It matches the Rfam family "Bacterial small subunit ribosomal RNA", at positions 524 to 773 of the family's 1533-position model. The record is from RNAcentral.
UACGAAGGGGGCUAGCGUUGCUCGGAUUGACUGGGCGUAAAGGGCGCGUAGGCGGUUCGUACAGUCAGACGUGAAAUUCCUGGGCUCAACCUGGGGGCUGCGUUUGAUACGUGCGGGCUUGAGUUCGGAAGAGGGUCGUGGAAUUCCCAGUGUAGAGGUGAAAUUCGUAGAUAUUGGGAAGAACACCGGUGGCGAAGGCGGCGACCUGGUCCGAUACUGACGCUGAGGCGCGAAAGCGUGGGGAGCAAAC